UUGUGCAGGAGGUCAGACUAGAUGACAUAAUGAUCCCUUCUGACCUUAAAGUCUAUGAAUCUAUGAAUUUGGCCCCCAGUAGGUUAUAUUGAGCAUGACAUUGCACAGUUGGAGUACAAUCAAUGACAGGAUGGUGCAUGGGGACCAGAGCUGGUGACUGGUGAAUUGGCAAAGGCAGGUUGGGCAAAGAGAGCGAGUCUGGAAGAGGGGAUGGGACACUUGGGUCCCAGGUAUUAAAGACCCUUUCCUGUUUCAGGAAGAAAUUCUCCCUGGGCCUGUGUGAGUGUAUAGGCAUCAGCGGAAGUUUCACCCAUAGGAAGUCCAGAUCACUUAUAAAGCCUUUUUUCCUCAGCGGUAGCGUGGCAGUUCAGUCAAACUGUGUGCAUGGUACGGCUGUGUUAACAGCAUCCUGUUCUGUGGUAACCACGUGGGAGUGAGCUGUUAUCUCAGAUCUGCCAUGAUCUGUGCUCUGAGGCUGUAUUCCUUCGCUCUUUUAUGUGGUCGUUUCUACCUGUCCACGUGCUUGUGUGCUGAGCUUGCUCCUGGAUGAAGCCGUCUGCAGAUAUCAGCAACUGGGUUUCAGAUAAACAAAAAGCAGCUAAACAGAGAACAGCCACCUGGGAGCAUCAAUCCAUCUAAGUCUGGGUGUUUAUUUUUAGGGCCAGGCCGCUUGACCCUAUCGUUGGCCUCUAAUUCAACACAGGCAAUCUCUAGACCUGUGACGCAUUCACAGCCCCAAACUCAUUAAGAGAACAUGGCUGGGGUGCGUGGCUGGGAUACUUACUGCCAGAUGAGUGUUAAAGCAAAGCAGAGAGAUGUGUUGCCAUUGCUCAUGACAUGAUGUCCUAGUCCUCUGACUCUUUGUUUACACCAAAUGAUUGAUGUAGGUUUAAUCAUCUGCUUUGAUGGACACCGCUGCAGGGAGUGAUGGUUGCUUGCCGUGCCAGAGGCAUGUGGGCUGUUCCCAAAGGACAUUUAUGCUUUUAGAAAUAUUCUAGUCUCUGGCUGAAUCUUUCUUUCAUCGCUCUUACUAAAUAAGGACUUGCCAUCCAGCACUCUGGAUAGGCUGGUGAACAUUUUGCGGGCUACAGUAUUUAACCCUUUCACAGGCCUGUAAGUGAUAUUGGUAACUUACCUGUUGCUCAGCUCCUCAGAUGCUACCACCAUGCCUGGCCUCAUGAUCUUACCUUAUUUCUUACCUUUAUUCAUUUUCCUUCCAGGGGCGUCUGCAGGCAUGGAUCUCUCCUUCCGUCUUCUCUGGCUCUCUCCAGCCCUCCUUACAUGUUCUUGUGUCCUCCUGUUGCUGCCUCCCAGAUGUUCUGCUAUUGUCUGCCCUCCCCUCCUUUCUGCUAGAUAUGCUCCUGGCUCCAGUUCUUGAUAAAUACUCAGCCAUUGCAGUAAACUUGUCACCUGCAAGUGAAAGGUUGAAACCUCGUGGCCAGACUAGAAAUGGAGGGUCUGAUUCUGAUCCUGCCUGUGUAGUUACACCAGCAGGAGACCAGAAUCAGGGCCUCGGAGUCUUUUUCAGCCCUCCGUUGCACUGGAGUGUUUGAGAGUGAACCGAAAAGGAAGGGUUAAAGGGAAGCGACCGUUUCCAAGCUUUUUUAAAAAAAAUAAAUCAAAUCUGUCGUGGUCAAAGACACCCACGCAAUGAUUUUAGUUCAAAGACUCAAGCCUGAGGCCAGUUUAUUGACAUACAUAGCAGUGCAUUUCCCCACAAGUCUGACUUCAUCACUUGUUAAUUUUUUCAAUCCCCAGCAAAUUGCUGUGAAGUUGAAAGAUGCUCAAGAAUCUCAUCUUGUUUAACGAGUAGUAAUGGGGGUCUCUUGAUGAUUCCCAGCUCCUUAAUUUCUGGAGGGCGGGGUAGCUAGAGUCGGUCAACCUUGCUUUUUAAAAAUACAUUUUGGAUGUUUUCAUCUAUCUUCUGGGCAAUUAUUUUUUUACCCUGGUGAAUGUAAUGGGUGUUAAAUAUUUGUGGAUAUGAGAGGCCGGGAAUGUAAUGCAGACUUAGUGCUAAACAUACCAUAGACAUCAUGUGCCGUAUGCAUUUCCUCCUACUUCCCCCACACAGUCCACCGGGGUCUCCGCUAAGAUCACCAGAGGCAUGUUGCUUGAUACAGACAGAGUAGAAAUGGGUUGCUAGGCGGUUGCUGUUGCGACUGUUUUUGUUAGUGCAGUGUCAUGUUCGAUGGCAGUGGGCUGGUUUUGCAAUUGGCAGGGAGCUCAUGAAACAGUUGCAAACCCCACGUUGCUGAUGUUCAGCAAGACUUGAAUGGCAAACUACUCCACCCUCUCAGAGCCCAGUGGUAUUUCCCCAGAGAGAUGGGGAGAGGUUCUCCCCUCCACCACAGCCUCUGUGCCUCAUUCCAGAGGCACAGCUGGCCCGGGGAGAUUAUCCUUGGUGCAGAGUCAUCCCCACACUGCCUCUCCAAUCCUCCCUCAAGCCCUGGGUUGGGGGAGGGGGAUGCCAGGGGAGUCUCCAUAGUGUGGCAUGCUAAGGAGAUUCUGUGCUGCUCCAAGUUAUGGAGCAACUCUUGGAAGGCUGCUGCAAAUGAGAGCAGCAUGAGGCUCUCCAGUUUAUGCUGGGGGUCUCAUCAGCAGCCCAGAAUCAGGAAGACACAAGGGUGGCAUGGAGACCCCUUUGCCUCGCCACCCCCAGGCUAUUUAUUUGCUGCUGUGCCUGCUGGAGAAAGAAUUCCUGUACCUCCCGCUCCAUAAGUCUAGGAUGUGGCUAUGGUUAAUUCCAUUCUACUGCGUGAAAGCUCCUUGGAGUUGGAAAAGCCAAGUACCAGGAUAACUGUCACAGUUGGGACUGAGGGGGAUGUCUACACUAGGCGCAGGCGGCAUGAUUCCCAUCUCACAUAGACAUGCUAGACCUCGAGCUUGUGUGCUAAAAACAGUAGUACAGUUGUGGUAGAAUGGGGAGCGGUGGCACAGCCAGCCACGCUGAGUACUUAUUCAUGGGCUUCAGGCACCAUUAGCCCGUGCUACAGCGGCUACACUACUCUUCUUAACACGCUAGCUCAAGGUGAGCAUAUCUGAUGAGCUGGGAAUCAGCCCCCUAGCUUGUAGUGUAGACAUAGCCACAGGCCUGUGAGGUUCUAAGCACUGUCGGCACCGCUGGUACCAAUGGGAGUUUAGGGUGUUCAGAACCUUACAGGGUAGAGCAAUAAAGCUUGAAAUUUGACCUUCCGUAGGACAUUCAUCUGGCAGGAAAUGGCCUCCAGUUUCAAAAUAUCCGUUCAUUGCUGCUGUUUUGCCUCUCCCCCUCUGCUGCUGGGAAAUUGUGGUUAAAAAGCCAGAGAUUCUAUGGACAGCGCCAAGAAUCUUGGGGUGACACAGUUGUGUUCCCAGAGCCGAGAUGUGGACCCUCCUGCUUUGUGAGUGUGGAUGUGGGUUUAAGCCACACACUUUGGACUGUUCUGAUGAUGCAAACGGGGGCCGUGGGGAGUACAACCAGGCAUGUUAAUUUCAGCUCCAUUAGAAACCCAGGGAAGCCAGGCCUGGCAAAUGGAAAAGGACUGAUUGGUAGGGGAAGAAAUCUUUUUGAGCACCUGUACUGAUACUGUAACCGAUAGAGGGGCUAAAACCUUGGCUGACUGCAAUGCUUGAGACAGCUGUAAAGGCAGUACUAAUUUCCUGGGGGAUAUUGGGUGCCUCCAAGCCACCCCAUUCAAAUGUCUGAGUAAAGUUGGCUUUGUCAGAUGCACUCUGUGUCUAAAAUAAGGUUUGUCCAUGCUUGAUCACCUGCCCAAAGCUGUGCUGCAUUUCUAACUGGACUGAGCCUGUGAGUAGAUACAUGAACAUACUGGGAUUUUAUAAGGAACAGUCUGACUGAAGAAUUCCAAGAUGUGUGUGACUGAGACCAUACAUGGUGCCAGUUUAGCGUCUCAGCUGAUGUGUUCCAUGCAACCGUUUUGUAAGUGCAAUUGCACACGCCAUGAUGUACUGUGCACUGCUGCAGCGUAAUGUACAUAGUCUGAUCCUGCAGUCCUUACCCAUCUAGCGCUCCCAUUUAAAUCAUUGGAAGGUCUAGAUAAGGAUGGCAGGGCUAGACCAACGUUUGUAAAGUUGUACAGGCAUUUGCCUCACAGACUGUCUGUAUAAUUCCCGGCUAUACUACAACCCGCUAAGGGCUUGAUGUGUGUAUUAUGUCUGUAUCUCAGUUGGCAGCUGCUUUAACCAUUUAAGAUUUACCCGGCUGCUUAGUUAGGGGGAGGAGGGCAGAGUAGCCAUCUUGAUAGCAAAGGACAAACGUGGGGUAGAUCUGCCAACAAACAUGAGACUGCGAGACACAAAGUUGUGUUCGUGCCCUUGAAUUCCGAACUCCGUGGGGGUUCAGAAUGAGCAUCAGCAGGGGAGAGAUGCCAGUACUGAAGGGGUGGGGAAGUAUGUGUGGGGGGGAUUCUUCUUGCUUAAGCAGAACCUUUGCCGCAGUUAGCAGAGACGUCUCGUGUCCUGUCGGUAUCUCAUGCUGCUGAGGAAACUCUCUAGCCGAGGAUAAAAAUGAAUGGAGAGUCCUGGUUGGAUGAGGAGAGGGGAGGAUCAUGUGUAUCUGAGAGACCAAAGGAAGCACAAAGAAUAAAAAAGAAUGAACCUUCACUUUACCCUGGGCUAAGAAUUGAGAACACGUCAGCACAUGUGGGUUUUACUAGUUGGCCUUCAGUGGAGCUGUUCCUGGUUUACACUGGUAUGAAGGCCAAAUCAAAUAUACAGGAGUCCAUUCUUCACCUCUGCAUAUUAUGGGUCUGACUCUGAUCUCUCAAAGGCAUGAUUCAGAAGUAACCCCAUUAAAGCCAAUGGAAUUACAGUUGUGCAAGAUUGGUGUGAAAGGAGAACCAGGCCAAUUCAGCCACUUUGGGGCUUUGCCGGCAUUUCGGAAGAGCUCAUAAUGACCAGUGACACGUCCACUCUCUUAGUAAAACACACAUUCCUUCAUCACCAGGGAGAAAUACUUAGAACCUGCCUGAAAAUGAAGCCCAAAUAAACAAGACCUGGUGAAUCACAGCAGUCAGGUGGUUGUGCUUCUCCUCUCAGCUACACCGGUUUCACACUGGUGUAACACUAUUAACAUCAGUGGCAUUACACCUGAAUAAUGCCAGCAUAACUGAGAAGAAGAGCCCUGGAUGGCAAAGAGCUACUAGAUUAUCCAGAGACCAUCAAUUUCCCAAUCACCAAGACACUACAUGAAUCUGUCUACCUAAACACUUCCAGGCUUGCAAAACUCUAACAGAUUUCCUCUGUUUACACCCAGAAGCAGAAGCAACGACUACUAGCUCAUCACAUGACAAAGGAUUUUCAGUUGGAUCAGAUGACUGCUAAUUGGGGGCAUCAUAUGACAAAGGCUUUAAAUUUGACAGUGUGGUUUACCUUCUCCCAGCUUCAGACACAGGGGGAAAUGGAGUGGAAACAGAAAGAGACAGGAAGGAAAGGCAGAGAGAAAAGAGCUAUUGGAAUAAAAAUGUUAUUGCCAGUAAAGGGUUUCAGGGAGACUAGAGCAAGUAAAAUACAAAGGGAGGGAGUAAGUCUAUCGCCCAGGGGACAUUUUGACCCUGACUCUAUUUGUUUCUGCUUGGAUCUGCUGGGGUUUAUAUGGUUUAGGUUAGCUAUAGUUGCUGAAGUAGGGCCAUUUUUGUAACAAUGUCUGGAGAUCUAAUGACAUGUAUUACGAAUAA
Trachemys scripta elegans is the source of this 5675-nucleotide long non-coding RNA. RefSeq lists it as uncharacterized. The record is from RefSeq and is a predicted model, not a curated record. The transcript is spliced from 5 exons. Lineage: Eukaryota; Metazoa; Chordata; Testudines; Emydidae.